UACGUAGGGACCGAGCGUUGUCCGGAUUCAUUGGGCGUAAAGAGCUCGUAGGCGGCUGUUCAAGUCGAACGUGAAAACUCGGAGCUCAACUCCGAGCCUGCGUUCGAUACUGGACGGCUAGAGUCUGGUAGGGGGAUCUGGAAUUCCUGGUGUAGCGGUGGAAUGCGCAGAUAUCAGGAGGAACACCAAUAGCGAAGGCAGCUCGCUGGGACGGUACUGACGCUAAGGCGCGAAAGCGUGGGGAGCGAACAGG
RNAcentral lists this ribosomal RNA (253 nucleotides) under uncultured bacterium. RNAcentral's name for it is "partial 16S ribosomal RNA". It matches the Rfam family "Bacterial small subunit ribosomal RNA", at positions 524 to 776 of the family's 1533-position model. The record is from RNAcentral.